GGUAGCAUAAUCAUUUGCUUUUUAAUUGGGAGCUGGAAUGAAAGGCUGAUCUAAUUUUGUGUUUGUACGAAUGAGUUAGAAAUUAAAGUUGAAGUAAGAAUUCUUUAAUCUUCUAGGGGACGAUAAGACCCUAGAAGCUUAACUAACGAAGUAGUGUUUAGUGUUAACUAGGUUGUUAGUUUGACUGGGGCGGUAGAAAUAAUUUAGCUAUUUAUUAAAAAGGAUCUUUUAAAUAAAGAUAAAACGGGAAAGUUACUCUAGGGAUAACAGUGCAAUAUUUUUGGAGAGACCUUAUCGAUAAAUAUGUUUGCAACCUCGAUGUUGAAUUAAAAUGUCUAAGUGACGCAGAAGRCACUAAAGAAGGUUUGU
This 369-nucleotide ribosomal RNA is filed under the name Gammarus mucronatus. RNAcentral describes it as "partial 16S ribosomal RNA". It matches the Rfam family "Bacterial large subunit ribosomal RNA", at positions 1955 to 2580 of the family's 2925-position model. The record is from RNAcentral. Lineage: Eukaryota; Metazoa; Arthropoda; Malacostraca; Amphipoda; Gammaridae.